Molecule: ribosomal RNA, 485 nt
Filed under: uncultured bacterium
Lineage: Bacteria
Description: bacterial SSU rRNA
Rfam family: Bacterial small subunit ribosomal RNA
Source: RNAcentral
CGAGUUUGAUCAUGGCUCAGAAUCAACGCUGGCGGCGUGCCUCAGACAUGCAAGUCGAACGAUUAAAGCUCUCUUCGGAGAGUGUAUAGAGUGGCGCACGGGUGAGUAACACGUAAGUAAUCUACCCUCGAGUGGGGAAUAACAACCGGAAACGGUUGCUAAUACCGCAUAAUGCAGCGGCACCGCAAGGUGACAGUUGUUAAAGAUUUAUCGCUUGAGGAGGAGCUUGCGGCAGAUUAGCUAGUUGGUAGGGUAACGGCUUACCAAGGCUACGAUCUGUAACCGGUCUAAGAGGACGGUCGGUCACACUGACACUGAAUAACGGGUCAGACUCCUACGGGAGGCAGCAGUCGGGAAUUUUGGGCAAUGGGCGAAAGCCUGACCCAGCAACGCCGCGUGAAGGAUGAAGUAUUUCGGUAUGUAAACUUCGAAAGAAUAGGAAGAAUUAAUGACGGUACUAUUUAUAAGGUCCGGCUAACUACGUG